GGGGAUAUAGCUCAGUUGGUAGAGCACAAGGCCCUGGGUUCAAUUCCCAGUACCA
This 55-nucleotide transfer RNA is filed under the name Marmota marmota marmota (Alpine marmot). It matches the Rfam family "tRNA". Rfam says of the family: Transfer RNA (tRNA) molecules are approximately 80 nucleotides in length. Their secondary structure includes four short double-helical elements and three loops (D, anti-codon, and T loops). RNAcentral also lists the same sequence under 4 other names. Lineage: Eukaryota; Metazoa; Chordata; Mammalia; Rodentia; Sciuridae. The record is from Rfam by way of RNAcentral.